CACCUUAAGACUAGGAGUCAAAUUAGUUCUGUAGCUAUACAAGUGGGCGUGGACUUGUACAUGCACAUGUGCGUGCAAGUGCACCAUUAUGGGAUAGCAGCAUGUUGCCACUGACAGGACAAGAGUGUUCUCCUUGUUUCUACAGGCUUAUCUGAGCCCUCAAAAGGAUUAACAAAGAAACCAACACAUAGGCCAUUCUUCUCCAUGGAGUGCCUUGAUUAGGCCUCUUGAACAUGGAGAGGGACAGAUGUAGGCACUCAAGGAAGACAUGGAAGAGGGAGUGAGGCUCGCGCUCACCUUGAACCUGGGAUAGAACUUGGGAACUUGCACUUGCAAGGCAGGUGGCAGAACCACUGAGCUAAAUCCCCAGCCGUGUAUUCUGUCAGAAUAAAUGACGUUUGAAAUAUCAAGGGUAGAAUGAAUAUCAGCAAGAGGAAAUCGUAGACCAAGAGGGAAGAUCUGAUUGAGUAUAAGGAACGCAUUAACACUGAAGAAAAUCAUGUUUUCUGGACUGGACACAAACUCAGGGCGCUGGGAGGAAACAGGAGUUGUAAACACACCUGUGGUGUUGAGGCAUUGGAGGAGAUGGGCAGUUUCCUCAGAGGACUCUGGGUUCUUUGGCAUAGAAAAUACCUUGAAAGCUGUACGGGUACCCAUUGUCUGUAUCCAAACCUGAUGUGUGCUGGGACCAUUUCAGCGACUGAACUACUAGAAAUCGAUUUCUGAGCACUAACACCCAUCCAGGUCAGGAAUCCAGCAACUGAACCAAUGAAUGCAGCCAAAGAGCGAGAAAUAAAUUUCCUGUUUUCCCACUACAUUACCUGGCAUCCUUGCAGUGUUUCUCUCCUUAUGAAUUCAUCACAGUUGAAUCCUUCUUUGGAGAAGGCUGCCUCGGGUCAAAUCCAUGUCCUACCACUUGUAAGCUGAAGGAUGUAGCUCAAUCCCCUCAUCUAUACCUUGUGGAUAAUAAAAAUCUCUCAUCCAUGUAACAGAGCUUAUCUGUAUAAAGUGCUUGGAAUAGGACCUAGCUUGGUAGCAAGCACUCAGUAAGGCACUCCGUAGUUUUACUCAAUAAAAGUUUCACUUCACUUGCACCCUUAUACAUACAUGAAAACCUCUGGCUUGAAAGGAAUCUACACGCUGACCACAACCUCCAACACCUAGGAACCCAUUCUGCAACAUGGUAUUUUCAGUCUACUUGAGCCUUACUGCCUCAGGGAGCAGCAUCCCAUCUUCGGACAGCGCUAACUUCUAGGAGAGCAAGG
RNAcentral lists this long non-coding RNA (1265 nucleotides) under Heterocephalus glaber (naked mole-rat). RNAcentral describes it as "lncRNA (ENSHGLG00100051372.1)". Lineage: Eukaryota; Metazoa; Chordata; Mammalia; Rodentia; Bathyergidae. The record is from RNAcentral.